RNAcentral lists this ribosomal RNA (323 nucleotides) under uncultured bacterium. RNAcentral describes it as "bacterial SSU rRNA". It matches the Rfam family "Bacterial small subunit ribosomal RNA", at positions 28 to 334 of the family's 1533-position model. The record is from RNAcentral.
GAUGAACGCUGGCGGCGUGCCUAACACAUGCAAGUCGAACGGACUUAUUUUGGAAACUCUUUCGGGAGCGGAAUUCAUAAGUUAGUGGCGGACGGGUGAGUAACGCGUGAGCAAUCUGCCCUUAGGUGGGGGAUAACAGCCGGAAACGGCUGCUAAUACCGCAUAACGCAGCGUGGUCGCAUGGCCAAGCUGCCAAAGAUUUAUUGCCUUUGGAUGAGCUCGCGUCUGAUUAGCUAGUUGGCGGGGCAACGGCCCACCAAGGCGACGAUCAGUAGCCGGACUGAGAGGUUGAACGGCCACAUUGGGACUGAGACACGGCCCAG